Molecule: long non-coding RNA, 165 nt
Organism: Melanotaenia boesemani (Boeseman's rainbowfish)
Lineage: Eukaryota; Metazoa; Chordata; Actinopteri; Atheriniformes; Melanotaeniidae
Exons: 3
Source: RefSeq, a predicted model, not a curated record
UGAAGUCGUAAACCUCUGCACUGCCUUGCACCACGCUCUUCAUCAUGUCGUCCGUGACCACAAUCCUGCAAAAAGAGUAGGAUGGGUGGAACGAUCCAUGAGUUGUUUCCAGCAAACUGUGUGUGUGUGUGUGUGUUUACCUGUCAUAGGGACAGUUAGUGUGGG